GCUUGCAUAGUGUAAUGGUCAGUACGCAAGGUUCUGAUUCUUAGGACCGCGGUUCGUCCGCGUACGAGCU
Molecule: transfer RNA, 70 nt
Organism: Drechmeria coniospora
Lineage: Eukaryota; Fungi; Ascomycota; Sordariomycetes; Hypocreales; Ophiocordycipitaceae
Rfam family: tRNA
About the family: Transfer RNA (tRNA) molecules are approximately 80 nucleotides in length. Their secondary structure includes four short double-helical elements and three loops (D, anti-codon, and T loops). Further hydrogen bonds mediate the characteristic L-shaped molecular structure. tRNAs have two regions of fundamental functional importance: the anti-codon, which is responsible for specific mRNA codon recognition, and the 3' end, to which the tRNAs corresponding amino acid is attached (by aminoacyl-tRNA synthetases). tRNAs cope with the degeneracy of the genetic code in two manners: having more than one tRNA (with a specific anti-codon) for a particular amino acid; and 'wobble' base-pairing, i.e. permitting non-standard base-pairing at the 3rd anti-codon position.
Source: Rfam